RNAcentral lists this unclassified non-coding RNA (337 nucleotides) under soil metagenome. Its description in RNAcentral is "partial contains 5.8S ribosomal RNA, internal transcribed spacer 2, and large subunit ribosomal RNA". The stretch from base 1 to 120 matches the Rfam family "5.8S ribosomal RNA", at positions 35 to 154 of the family's 154-position model. The record is from RNAcentral.
GAUGAAGAACGUAGUGAAAUGCGAUAAGUAGUGUGAAUUGCAGAAUUCAGUGAAUCAUCGAAUCUUUGAACGCACAUUGCGCCCUUUGGUAUUCCUUAGGGCAUGCCUGUUCGAGCGUCAUCUAAACCUUCAAGCCCUGCUUGGUGUUGGGUGCCUGUCCCGCCUCCGCGCGUGGACUCACCUCAAAUCCAUUGGCGGCCCCCGCGUCGGCCACGAGCGCAGCAGAAACGCGAACUCGUGAGCCCGUCCGGGCGGCUCCCAGAAGCUAACCCCCAAUUUUUGACCUCGGAUCAGGUAGGGAUACCCGCUGAACUUAAGCAUAUCAAUAAGCGGAGGA